GGAAGUCAUCCGGCUGGAUGAGGGGCCUGUCUCGAAAACAGGUGCGGUUCACCCCGUUGUGGGUUCGAGUCCCACGACUUCCGC
This 84-nucleotide transfer RNA is filed under the name Gimesia aquarii. RNAcentral's name for it is "Planctomycetes bacterium V144 tRNA-Ser". It matches the Rfam family "tRNA". Rfam says of the family: Transfer RNA (tRNA) molecules are approximately 80 nucleotides in length. Their secondary structure includes four short double-helical elements and three loops (D, anti-codon, and T loops). The record is from RNAcentral. Lineage: Bacteria; Pseudomonadati; Planctomycetota; Planctomycetia; Planctomycetales; Planctomycetaceae.